Molecule: ribosomal RNA, 449 nt
Filed under: uncultured bacterium
Lineage: Bacteria
Description: partial 16S ribosomal RNA
Rfam family: Bacterial small subunit ribosomal RNA
Source: RNAcentral
AACGAACGCUGGCGGCAUGCCUAACACAUGCAAGUCGAACGAGAUCUUGAGGGCUAGUGGCGCAUGGGUGAGUAACGCGAGGGAAUCUGCUUUUUGGUUCGGAAUAACAGUAGGAAACGAUUGCUAAUACCGGAUGCUGACGAAAAACCAAAGAUUGAUCGAAAGAGGACGAGCCCGCGAAGGAUUAGCUAGUUGGGGAGGUAAAGGCGCAGCAAGGCGACGAUCGGUAGCUGGUCUGAGAGGAUGGUCAGCCACACUGGGACUGAGACACGGCCCAAACUCCUACGGGAGGCAGCAGUGGGGAAUAUUGGACAAUGGGCGAAAGCCUGAUGCAGCAAUGCCGCGUGGGUGAUGAAGGCCUUAGGGUUGUAAAGACCUUUUUCCCGGGACGAUAAUGACAGUACCGGAAGAAUAAGCGCCGGCUAACUACGUGCCAGCCGCCGCGGUAA